This 435-nucleotide ribosomal RNA is filed under the name uncultured bacterium. RNAcentral describes it as "partial 16S ribosomal RNA". It matches the Rfam family "Bacterial small subunit ribosomal RNA", at positions 28 to 507 of the family's 1533-position model. The record is from RNAcentral.
AACGAACGCUGGCGGCAGGCUUAACACAUGCAAGUCGAACGCAUGCCUUCGGGCAUGGGUGGCAGACGGGUGAGUAACGCGUGGGAACCUACCCCUGGGUACGGGAUAGCUCCGGGAAACUGGAGAUAAUACCGUAUGUGUCCUGAGGGACAAAGAUUCAUCGCCAAGGGCUGGGCCCGCGUCGGCUUGGCUAGUUGGUGGGGUAACGGCCUACCAAGGCGACGUUGCGUGGCUGGGCUAAGCGGGGGCUCCGCCGCGUUUGGGCUGCGACACGGCCCACACUCCUACGCGGGGGAGCAGUGUGGAACACUGUGCGAGGGGGCCAGGCGCGACCCAGCCGCGCCGCGUGAGUGAUGAAGGCCCUAGGGUUGCACAUCCGUCUCUCCGGUGACGAUAAUGACGGUAACCGGUGAAGAAGCCCCGGCUAACUUCGUG